UUAAUAGAAUGUUCCUCAUUUUGGGUUUGUCUGAUACAGAAACUGUCUUUUAAAUACCCUGCACUCAGGAAUAGUUCUAAGAAAUAUGAAUGGCGCGAGACUGCUGAAGCUGACCUCCCUGUCUCCACUGGUGGAAGGCACAGACCACCAGAGGGAGCAGCUGUGCCUGGCACUUCCUGAUUGAAGCACGCACCUCCUCUGGAAAACACCAUUGUCCCUCAGCAACAGGGGAGCCAUUCAAGCCCAGCCCUAUGCCCCUAUCCGUCACCAACCCCCAUAUUGAGAAAUGGAAUGUAACAGCAGCCAGGGCCUGCUUUCAGAUCUCACCACCGUGGGACCCAGGGCAUCACGUAUUCAGCAGGGAAUCCUGAUCAGGGAUGCCAUCAACCAAGAGGUCUUUUCCAAUCAAGAAACAGAGUGGCCCCCAUUGAAUUCAUAUUGUCAUAAUGCAGUAGACCUGGUGCCAGGAACCUGCAUUUGCACCAAAUGUAUUUUCACACCCAGAAGUGAAGGCCCAGGUCAUCUGAGAGUAUGAAGCUCAGCACCCACAUCAGUGUGUCAUUACAUACUGACCUUCCCCUGCAGGUGACCCAAUACCAUUUUUAAACUCUUGUAUUGAAGUAUAUCAAAUAUACAGGAAAGUGCAUAUAUCAUAAGGGUACAACUUGAUGAAUUUAUAGAAAAUGAACAUAUCCCUGUAAACAACAGUCAGAUCAAGAAACAGAACAUUACCCAUAAGUCAGGCCCCCCUCCUGCUUCCUUCCAGUCAAUAACUCCAAAGGGUAAUCCCUAUCCUGACUUCUUUCACUGUAGAUUAGUGUUGCCUUUUUUUUGCCUUCUAUAAAUGGAAUUGUUCAAUAUG
Ceratotherium simum simum (southern white rhinoceros) is the source of this 862-nucleotide non-coding RNA. NCBI's taxonomy places the organism in Eukaryota, Metazoa, Chordata, Mammalia, Perissodactyla, Rhinocerotidae. The record is from RefSeq and is a predicted model, not a curated record.